GGCCCUUGUUCUUGGCCUCUCUUUCAGUCCGAAAAAAAAUGUCCUCUACCAUUGAGAAUUAGUGUGGCCUGCUGUCCCGAUUUUUCUAUAUUAUGUCUUUAUUUCGGUAAAUGGAUAGAGCAGUUGACAACACUCUGCACUAACGACCAGUGGAAGGGGAUGAGGAUGAGGAUGUGACUGACUGGUUAUUUGAGGAUGUUGACCAUAUAUCACCUCAACCAGCCCUGCUGUGAUACCUCAACCAGCCCUGCUGUGAUACCUCAACCAGCCCUGCUGUGAUACCUCAACCAGCCCUGCUGUGAUACCUCAACCAGCCCUGCUGUGAUACCUCAACCAGCCCUUCCGUCAGUUCAUGAUAUUCAUAGAUGCUGGCGGCGAUGGGAAAACUACUUUGAUGUCUUGACAUAAGGAUACCUCGGCUUUACCUUGUCCUCGAACCAUUGAUACCAUUUACACGCCUCUCAACGAAAUUGUCCGCCGACACCAAGACUCCGCCCAUCCUCGAAGUCUCGCUCUCUUCAAUUCAUCUUUUCGUAUUGAAUGUAAUUUUCAAUAAUGAAUAAACAAUAUCAUAAUAAACUUUGAAAACUAUAAGGGGGCCAAGGCUGGCACCAACUUAAAAAAUUCCCGUUGGGAAGAUUUCAACUUCUUGCUAAAAUGCUUGUACCUAUAUGGCCAAGGCUUUAAAACUGUAUGUAAAAACAGUAUGUAAAACCUCUUCUUCUGUAUCAUCUUUUCCAAUCAUGAAUA
Molecule: long non-coding RNA, 750 nt
Organism: Lineus longissimus
Lineage: Eukaryota; Metazoa; Nemertea; Pilidiophora; Heteronemertea; Lineidae
Exons: 3
Source: RefSeq, a predicted model, not a curated record